This 288-nucleotide unclassified non-coding RNA is filed under the name Hevea brasiliensis (rubber tree). Lineage: Eukaryota; Viridiplantae; Streptophyta; Magnoliopsida; Malpighiales; Euphorbiaceae. The record is from RNAcentral.
ACAGUUGUUGAUUCGCUAACCUGUGAGGUAACAACUUGGGGAAUUGGUUCACCCUCAGCUUCCGGUAAUGGAGAUAAUACUUUAGCUCUUCUCUUGGUUUUCUUCAUGAUUCUGUUGCAAACAGCUUGAGGUUCAAUGAUUCCUUUUAUAGUAACCUGGUUUUGAGCCAUAUCUAUCACUACUCCCUCCACACCUCUAAUCUUCAUGAUGGACUUCUCAAUCUUCUUCGCACAUCCCACACAAUGCAGGUCCACUAACAAGACGAAGGGAGAUGGAGGUUUUGGCUCU